Long non-coding RNA from Podarcis muralis (Common wall lizard), 606 nucleotides. RefSeq lists it as uncharacterized. Lineage: Eukaryota; Metazoa; Chordata; Lepidosauria; Squamata; Lacertidae. The record is from RefSeq and is a predicted model, not a curated record.
AAAGAGAGGCGUCAAUCAAAAAGGAGGAGGGGUGGACAUUUUCUGUUUCCUCCCGGAGAUGCAAUGAUGGCUCAGAUGCUUCAAUUGAAUUGCGAUGUAUAGAUGCUAGUGUGUGCGGCUCUGAGGCUAAUGACUGUAUACAAUAAAUCUUCUUGUAACUACCACCACUAUGUGCUGUUUAUCUAUGCCAGUAGCCUGCCAGCUUGAAGCAUCUCCACUCUUCACAUCAGAUGGCCAGGAAAGAGUUGGGAUGUCGGAAGAGCAAGGAGCAGCUGGAGGCACGCUGAGGGGGGCAGGGGUGACGGGCACUGAAGCUGACCCCUAUCAGGAACUGAUCUUCUAGUCCUAUGCAGAAUGCCAAAGGGAUUUGCUGGCAGGUGACAGAAUACAUCACACUGGAAGAUAAGCAGGUGGAUUGACCUUUGGUGUUGCGGCCUACAUUAUUAGGUGUUGCAAUAGCAGUGCCCUAGUAAAUGUAGGAAGAGAGUUAGCAUAUAGGUUUGUUUAUGUUUGUCUCUAUUAUGUGGCUUUUUGAGUAGUUUAGACAUGUGGUUUGCUGUAGCCUUCACUAACUCUGUCACUCGUUAAUAAACCCACAUGGCUUGA